This 492-nucleotide ribosomal RNA is filed under the name uncultured bacterium. RNAcentral's name for it is "partial 16S ribosomal RNA". It matches the Rfam family "Bacterial small subunit ribosomal RNA", at positions 29 to 507 of the family's 1533-position model. The record is from RNAcentral.
AGUGAACGCUGGCGGUAGGCCUAACACAUGCAAGUCGAACGGCAGCACAGUAAGAGCUUGCUAUUACGGGUGGCGAGUGGCGGACGGGUGAGGAAUACAUCGGAAUCUACUUUUUCGUGGGGGAUAACGUAGGGAAACUUACGCUAAUACCGCAUAUGACCUACGGGUGAAAGCAGGGGAUCUUCGGACCUUGCGCGACUGAAUGAGCCGAUGUCGGAUUAGCUAGUUGGCGGGGUAAAGGCCCACCAAGGCGACGAUCCGUAGCUGGUCUGAGAGGAUGAUCAGCGACACUGGAACUGAGACGCGGUCCAGACUCCUACGGGAGACGGCAGUGGGGAAUAUUGGACAAUGGGCGCAAGCCUGAUCCAGCCAUAGCGCGUGGGUGAAGAAGGCCUUCGGGUUGUAAAGCCCUUUUGUUUGGAAAGAAAAGCAGCAGGUUAAUACGCCGCUGUUCUGACGGUACCCAAAGAAUAAGCACCGGCUAACUUCGUG